Molecule: ribosomal RNA, 515 nt
Filed under: uncultured bacterium
Lineage: Bacteria
Description: partial 16S ribosomal RNA
Rfam family: Bacterial small subunit ribosomal RNA
Source: RNAcentral
GAUGAACGCUGGCGGCGUGCCUAAUACAUGCAAGUCGAGCGAAUGGAUUAAGAGCUUGCUCUUAUGAAGUUAGCGGCGGACGGGUGAGUAACACGUGGGUAACCUGCCCAUAAGACUGGGAUAACUCCGGGAAACCGGGGCUAAUACCGGAUAACAUUUUGAACCGCAUGGUUCGAAAUUGAAAGGCGGCUUCGGCUGUCACUUAUGGAUGGACCCGCGUCGCAUUAACUAGUUGGUGAGGUAUCGGCUCACCAAGGCAACGAUGCGUAGCCGACCUGGGAGGGUGAUCGGCCACACUGGGACUGAGACACGGCCCAGACUCCUACGGGAGGCAGCAGUAGGGAAUCUUCCGCAAUGGACGAAAGUCUGACGGAGCAACGCCGCGUGAGUGAUGAAGGCUUUCGGGUCGUAAAACUCUGUUGUUAGGGAAGAACAAGUGCUAGUUGAAUAAGCUGGCACCUUGACGGUACCUAACCAGAAAGCCACGGUUAACUACGUGCCAGCCGCCGUCGUAA